ACAGGGGGACGGAGAGACUGAGGGACGGAGGGAUGGAGGGACAGAGGGACUGAGGGACAGAGAGACGGAGAGACUGAGGGACAGGGCGACAGAGGGACUGAGGGACAGAGAGACUGAGGGAUGGAGGGACAGGGGAAUGGAGGGACAGGGGGAUGGAGGGACGGAGAGACUGAGGGAUGGAGGGACAGAGGGACAGCGGGACUGGGGGAUGGAGGGACAGAGGGACAGCGGGACUGGGGGAUGGAGGGACAGAGGGACGGAGAGACUGAGGGGUGGAGGGACAGAGGGACGGAGAGAAGGAGAGACAAGGAGGAUGGAGGGACAGAAGAAAGAAGGGACAAGAUAGAUGGAGGGAAGGAGAGAUGCAGAGACUGAAGGAUGGAGAGACAGGAAUGAAGCAAUAAGAAGGAUGGAGGGUUGGAGGGAAGGAAAGAUGGAAAGCCUGAGGGAUGGAAGGAAUGAGGAAUGAAGGGACAGAGGAAGGGAAGGAUGCAGGGAUGAAGGGACAGAGGGAUGGAAAGAUGGAGGGACGGAGGGAAGGAGAGAGAGAGGGACUGAGGGGUGGAGGGACUGAGGGAUGAAGGGACGCAGGGUUGGAGUGAUGAUGGGCCAGAGAGAUGUGGCAGUGGAGGGCAGCCUGGGACCUGGGUCACAGCAAUGUCUUAAGCUGGAUUUGAGCAGAGUCAUCAUCUCUACAGGGAAACUACCCUGAGCUGCCAGCUUGGAACAGUGGUGCCAUCUGUGCUGCACACAGGGUGCAGCCUUCCAGCAUUCCUGCAACCUGUGCCCUGCUCCUUGCUGCAGUGCCACACAGCACACGGCAUGGCACAGUGGCCUCUUCUUUCCCUCCUGAGCCACCAUGGCAUCCUGCUACCCUGGAAGAGAAGAAACAUGAGAUGGUUGCUUUCCUUGCCAUCAGGAAGUUGAGGAAAUGAGCACUUUGGUUUUGGUAGUCCCUGCUGUGAUCUUGCCUCUCAGAGUUUACUCAGAGUGAGUUUCCUUCACCUGGCUUGGAGGACACUAAAUGGGCACCAGCAGCUGUAGUGGAAGGCAAGGAGCAACACUGUCUGCAGAAUUGAUUUUCUACACUCUGAUUACAAAUACUGAGGCAUUUUAUUUUGUUUUCUCCAACAUGCGUGAGAAAGAAAGUGAAUUUUGUUAAAAGCCCUUUUUUCCCCAGCAGCGAACAUAGCUCAGCUGGCAGCUCCCUCGUGUUUGUUAAGAUGCAGCACAGUUCAAGCUGUUCAGCACUUACAGGGUCAGGUCUGGCUCUUGGGGUCAUGCUUUCAUUGUAAACCAACCAAUUUUAUGUUCUUUUAAAACAGAAGAGCCCUCCUCAUCUUUGAAUCCACUGCUACCUGAGCCAGCAAAGUGACAGCUUGCAUGAGGGGGGCAGGGGGGCUUGGGAGGACCUUUGCAGCCCCUACUCAGUUGGGUGGGGAUGCAGAGAAGGUUUGCUGAGUAACUCAAGCUUAAAACUUCCAAAUAGUUCUUCAAGACACCCAAUAAAAUUUCAGCUAGCCAAUCUCAACAUUCAACCUAAAUGUGGGAACAGGUUUUGUUUACUUAUAAACAAUUAAAGCAAUUACAAAUAAUUUUAGAAAAUCAAUGAAAUUAAUUUAGAGCUAAGAUAGAAAUUGGAUCACUGAAAAAUUAUGAAUUUGGGUACAGAGAACAUCUAAUCACUAAAGGAUGUUCUUUCCACUUUUGGUUUGACUUUCUUGAUAGUUUCCCCAGUAGGGAAAGCAAUGACAUAAGAAAGUUUAAUAACAGAACAACAAAACAAGGAAAUAUAAAACUGGAAUAAGUCUCACAUCAUAUAAACUUACCAUAAAGAUGCUUAUCAAGGAUUAGGAAGCAACAAAUAAUUUAAGGCUGAACAGUCCAAGUCAUUAACUUUUAAUAUAAAGUUACUUCAUAUCUCACCAUACUGAUGUUUUUAUCUCCUAGAAUAAUAACAAUUUUGCUGAAUGACUUCCUGCAUAUUAGCUGCUUUUCUUUUGUGAGCACAUAAAGAAAACACAAAACUGUUAGAAAAAUUUUACAAUUGUGAAAGAAAAAGAAGCCUUUUAUUUGCAUUUUUGUAUUAGCUAUAAGACCUGGAGGAGACAAAAGUUUUGUCUGUUUGCUUCAGAUUUUAUACAUCAGGUAUUCUGAAAUUUCAGGCAGACCACAGACCUGUCUUAUUUUCUGGAUUAGAGAGCAAAUAUAAAACUUGUCCUUAAGCAGAAACUGUGCUGCAAGCACAAGAAGCUGCCAGCUGUGGGACUAAAUAUCUGCUACUCUAAGACUUUGUCCUCAACAACAUUUGGCAGAAGAUGCCUGAAGAACAUUAAAAACACAGGCAGCCCCUGCUUUUCUGGGGUCUGUGUCUCAAGGGUGCAGAAGAGGCAGGAAGGUGCCUGUUGAAGCAAUACCAUCUAGUGGCAGAUGCAGAAAGAGAAUCCAAUCCCCCAACAGGAGCAGAGCUGGAAAGGUGAAAGCUGAAAAGACAUUAUUUAAAAACAAAACCACCUGCUUGAGAGCAUUUUUUUCCAUUACUUGUUUUCAUCGUAAUGUAUCAAAAAGUAUUAUAUACAAAUAAAUAUUUAUCUGUUCUGUGAAACUCUACACCCCAGAAAAGAUGUUUCAUGAAAGAUGAAAUGAUGGAUUGUCUAACUCUGGAAUUCUCCAUGAUAGUCCAGGCUGAAAGCCCAACAACCACAGAGCAUGUUACACAGUUGGCCACCCAUCUUCUGUGGGAAUAGAACCACAGUGACAUCAAUACUUGGGUUGGCAAAGAGAACAUUUAUCUGGGCAUUACAGGGCUGUAUGCCCUGUUACUGCACAUCCCAAGAUAAGUUAGAGCAAAGAGCUCAGACACCCCUAUUAGCUAAUGGAACUUGGAAGUCUCACAGUGUAAUUUUCACCUCUCUCUAGUAUUGCUGUAAUUUUGCAAUGAAAACAUAGGGCUGCCUUCCAAGUGCAUUGUGUAAUACCUGUGGCACCUACAUAAACAGAGUGGGAAAGGCUUCAUUCCCACAGCUGAUCUAAGUCAACCAGUACUUACCAAUUUCAGGUGAAACUCCAGAUACUGAAGGAAACAUAUGCUUUUUCUAUCAAGAGAAAUGUAAACAAAGUCUUACAAGUUGUAUGCAGUUUAACCAGUAUGUGACAUUCUAUAUUCCUGCCCAGACAAAUGGUGCUGACUACAAAGUGGGUAGUGUCAAUUUUUUUUGUAGGUUUGGAGGGGUACUUUUCCAAAACCUAGUGUGUGUUAGCACAAAUGCAUGGAAACAUAUCCCCUUCCCAGUGCUAUUUGGGCUAUAGAUAGCUGUGGAAAAUGCAGAAGGUUUUUGUGAGGAUGGAGAGUUAUAGUGGUGGUGUUUCUGAUGGCCUCAUCCUCAACCAGUGAUGGGUUCUUGUUGCCAGGUGACAUUGCCUUUGGCUGACAAAGGGGAAGCUUCUGGUGUCUUCUCAACCUCCACAAAAACCUUGCCACAAAACCCAAUACAGUACAAAAUUAUUUAAACUCUAAUACAGUGGCCAUUAAACAAUUUUAAAACAGUUAUGACAAUUAGCUUUGACAUUAACAGGAAUAGCCAAUACCUGAAAGGAAACUCACAGCCUAAAGGAGACCACAAGAAAGCUCUUGAAACAGAAGAAAUCUUAGUAUUGGUAAAGCAUUACAGGAGUUUCAGUGGGGUCUUUAACUAGUGGAUUCUUUACAUUGCAUGGGCACAGUUUCUGCUUUUGAGCUCCCUAGACAUGACCUCAUUCCACUAGUUCAUGAGCUGUUUUCAUUGCACCCUUUCCCUGAGGGAUUGUUCCCAUCUGAAGCACAGAAACAUCAAACCAGCACCUGGCUGUUUUGAGACUCAGGUGGUGCCUCUUUUCUCACCAGGAAUGUUGUUAUGGAUCAAAGCAUUGCCUUCAAAGAUCUUCCAAUGGAUGGACUAAGGCUCAGCUCAUUACCCCCAAGUGCUGAGACAAUACAGUGGCUCUAUUUAUCCUUUUGCCAUAAGUGUAACUCUUUGUGGAACAGAAAAAGGGGGUGGGUGGACUGUGGAUAAUCCUCUUAUUUGUCACCAUAGCAGGAUAAAAGAGUGCAAUGACAAAUAAAUUUAGAUAAAUUCUA
Passer domesticus (house sparrow) is the source of this 4117-nucleotide long non-coding RNA. RefSeq lists it as uncharacterized. NCBI's taxonomy places the organism in Eukaryota, Metazoa, Chordata, Aves, Passeriformes, Passeridae. The transcript has 2 exons. The record is from RefSeq and is a predicted model, not a curated record.